RNAcentral lists this ribosomal RNA (241 nucleotides) under uncultured Actinomycetales bacterium. RNAcentral describes it as "partial 16S ribosomal RNA". It matches the Rfam family "Bacterial small subunit ribosomal RNA", at positions 89 to 334 of the family's 1533-position model. Lineage: Bacteria; Bacillati; Actinomycetota; Actinomycetes; Actinomycetales. The record is from RNAcentral.
ACUCGAGUGGCGAACGGGUGAGUAACACGUGGGUGAUCUGCCCUGCACUUCGGGAUAAGCUUGGGAAACUGGGUCUAAUACCGGAUAGGAGCCAUCUUUAGUGUGGUGGUUGGAAAGUUUUUCGGUGUAGGAUGAGCUCGCGGCCUAUCAGCUUGUUGGUGGGGUAAUGGCCUACCAAGGCGGCGACGGGUAGCCGGCCUGAGAGGGUGUACGGCCACGUUGGGACUGAGAUACGGCCCAG